UCUCGAUAAAGGCAAACCUGGUGAAAACCAGCGACGCAAAGCUACAGGGGCUACCGACUCUAGUGAUCACACAUGAGUCCACGCCAGCCAGUUACCGAA
Molecule: non-coding RNA, 99 nt
Filed under: Pontibacillus marinus
Lineage: Bacteria; Bacillati; Bacillota; Bacilli; Caryophanales; Bacillaceae
Also listed under: 1 other name
Description: c-di-GMP sequence
Rfam family: c-di-GMP-I riboswitch aptamer
About the family: GEMM was predicted in a large-scale screen for bacterial structured RNA regulatory elements.
Source: RNAcentral